UGGAGAGUUUGAUCCUGGCUCAGGACGAACGCUGGCGGCGUGCUUAACACAUGCAAGUCGAGCGGUAAGGCCCUUCGGGGUACACGAGCGGCGAACGGGUGAGUAACACGUGGGUGAUCUGCCUCGCACUUCGGGAUAAGCCUGGGAAACUGGGUCUAAUACCGGAUAUGACCUGCUGUCGCAUGGCGGUGGGUGGAAAGAUUUAUCGGUGCGAGAUGGGCCCGCGGCCUAUCAGCUUGUUGGUGGGGUAAUGGCCUACCAAGGCGACGACGGGUAGCCGGCCUGAGAGGGCGACCGGCCACACUGGGACUGAGACACGGCCCAGACUCCUACGGGAGGCAGCAGUGGGGAAUAUUGCACAAUGGGCGAAAGCCUGAUGCAGCGACGCCGCGUGAGGGAUGACGGCCUUCGGGUUGUAAACCUCUUUCGACAGGGACGAAGCGCAAGUGACGGUACCUGUAGAAGAAGCACCGGCCAACUACGUGCCAGCAGCCGCGGUA
RNAcentral lists this ribosomal RNA (500 nucleotides) under Nocardia asteroides. RNAcentral describes it as "bacterial SSU rRNA". It matches the Rfam family "Bacterial small subunit ribosomal RNA", at positions 1 to 522 of the family's 1533-position model. Lineage: Bacteria; Bacillati; Actinomycetota; Actinomycetes; Mycobacteriales; Nocardiaceae. The record is from RNAcentral.